GACGUAGGGCGCAAGCGUUGUCCGGAUUUAUUGGGCGUAAAGAGCUCGUAGGCGGCCUGUCGCGUCGACCGUGAAAACCCGCAGCUCAACUGCGGGCUUGCGGUCGAUACGGGCGGGCUGGAGUUCGGUAGGGGAGACUGGAAUUCCCUGUGUAGCGGUGAAAUGCGCAGAUAUCAGGAGGAACACCGGUGGCGAAGGCGGGUCUCUGGGCCGAUACUGACGCUGAUGUGCGAAAGCGUGGGGAGCAAACAGG
This 253-nucleotide ribosomal RNA is filed under the name uncultured bacterium. RNAcentral's name for it is "partial 16S ribosomal RNA". It matches the Rfam family "Bacterial small subunit ribosomal RNA", at positions 524 to 776 of the family's 1533-position model. The record is from RNAcentral.